UUUCUUUCUUUCUUUCUUUCUUUCUUUCUUUUUAUUUUUUUGUCACAGCUAUCAGUUUUAGGCAUUCAUUUCAGCGACAAAUUCUGAAGCGUUAGCCCCUCUGCCCGAAGCCACCUUGGACCGCGCCGCUCCUUUCUUCUUUGCCCCAUGCGGUUCCCAGACAAUGUCUUGACAAUUAAUAUUGUCUGCGCAGGAUUCAUCUUUCCUUUCAAGUCUAUGGUGCUAAACACAGAAAAGGGACAAAAAGGAGACAGUAACCAACUGGAGAGAAGAACAGAGAGACCAAGUUCUGUAGCCUGCAGAUCUGUAGGCAGGCCUUCUUGUGGCUGAUUUUAAAUUCUCUCUUCAUCUUCUCACCAUUUCUCUUACGUGUGUUCACCACAGUGUGAGCCUCCAGGAUUCCUGCUUAGUGCUUGGCUCUGGGUAAUAAAUGAGAAGGGAGAAGCA
This is a long non-coding RNA of Grammomys surdaster, 447 nucleotides long. RefSeq lists it as uncharacterized. The record is from RefSeq and is a predicted model, not a curated record. The transcript has 2 exons. NCBI's taxonomy places the organism in Eukaryota, Metazoa, Chordata, Mammalia, Rodentia, Muridae.